AUUACAGAGUUUUCUAAACUCCCAACCCUAUGUGAACUUACCUUUGUUGCUUCGGCGGCGGAGGCUACCCUGCGGGAGAAUACCACUUAGUGGUUAUCCUGUAGUUUCAGGUACAUCAGCUACCCGGUAGUCAUCCCCGCCGGCGGCCAACUAAACUCUGUUUUCUUUGGAAUUCUGAAUAACAAACUUAAUAAGUUAAAACUUUCAACAACGGAUCUCUUGGUUCUGGCAUCGAUGAAGAACGCAGCGAAAUGCGAUAAGUAAUGUGAAUUGCAGAAUUCAGUGAAUCAUCGAAUCUUUGAACGCACAUUGCGCCCAUUAGCAUUCUAGUGGGCAUGCCUGUUCGAGCGUCAUUUCACCACUUAAGCCCUGUUGCUUAGCGUUGGGAGCCUACGGCACGGCCCGUAGCUCCUUAAAGUGAUUGGCGGAGUUGGUUCUCACUCUAAGCGUAGUAACUAUAUCUCGCUUCUGUAGUGGUCCCGGCCCCUGCCGUAAAACCCCUUAUACAAAGGUUGACCUCGGAUCAGGUAGGAAUACCCGCUGAACUUAAGCAUAUCAAUAAGCGG
This 566-nucleotide ribosomal RNA is filed under the name fungal endophyte. RNAcentral describes it as "eukaryotic LSU rRNA". The stretch from base 200 to 353 matches the Rfam family "5.8S ribosomal RNA". Lineage: Eukaryota; Fungi. The record is from RNAcentral.